UACGAAGGGGGCAAGCGUUGUUCGGAUUUACUGGGCGUAAAGGGCGCGUAGGCGGCCACCGCAAGUCGAUUGUGAAAUCUCCGGGCUUAACCCGGAAAGGUCAACCGAUACUGCGGGGCUAGAGUGCAGAAGGGGCAACUGGAAUUCUCGGUGUAGCGGUGAAAUGCGUAGAUAUCGAGAGGAACACCUGCGGCGAAGGCGGGUUGCUGGGCUGACACUGACGCUGAUGCGCGAAAGCCAGGGGAGCGAACGGG
RNAcentral lists this ribosomal RNA (254 nucleotides) under uncultured bacterium. Its description in RNAcentral is "partial 16S ribosomal RNA". It matches the Rfam family "Bacterial small subunit ribosomal RNA", at positions 524 to 776 of the family's 1533-position model. The record is from RNAcentral.